CUGAAGGAAACGUCACUCUGAACAUCGUCGCAGUUUGAAUCAUCAACAAUGAAGACCGUAGCUGUUGCACUCUGUUUGGUUCUGCUUGUGGCGAUGGUCUCAGCCACAUUCUACCAACCCUCAUACCAAUACGGAAGGGGAUAUGGAGGAUACGGGGGAAAUAACGUAGAUAACAACCAAAACUUCAGACAGUAUGCCACCAUCAAUCAACAACAGUUCAACAGGCAAAACGUUGACCAAGAUAUCUAUAAUCGCGGCGGCUACCCCUUCUAUGGCGGAAAGGGCUAUAGUGGAUAUUAAGAUGGUUCAUGCACAUUGUCCAUAAGGCAGGACUCCAACUCUUGCGCAUAUGACAUGUAUGAGGUGAAUUAAUAAAUCUUUGCAUGUUUUUGAAA
This is a long non-coding RNA of Haliotis rufescens (red abalone), 395 nucleotides long. RefSeq lists it as uncharacterized. NCBI's taxonomy places the organism in Eukaryota, Metazoa, Mollusca, Gastropoda, Lepetellida, Haliotidae. The record is from RefSeq and is a predicted model, not a curated record. The transcript has 2 exons.